CGCGGGGUGGAGCAGUCUGGUAGCUCGUCGGGCUCAUAACCCGAAGGUCGCGGGUUCGAAUCCCGCCCCCGCUA
Molecule: transfer RNA, 74 nt
Filed under: Conexibacter woesei DSM 14684
Lineage: Bacteria; Bacillati; Actinomycetota; Thermoleophilia; Solirubrobacterales; Conexibacteraceae
Also listed under: 44 other names
Description: tRNA-fMet (CAT) (tRNA-fMet-CAT-1-1)
Rfam family: tRNA
About the family: Transfer RNA (tRNA) molecules are approximately 80 nucleotides in length.
Source: Rfam by way of RNAcentral